RNAcentral lists this ribosomal RNA (245 nucleotides) under uncultured bacterium. RNAcentral's name for it is "partial 16S ribosomal RNA". It matches the Rfam family "Bacterial small subunit ribosomal RNA", at positions 524 to 768 of the family's 1533-position model. The record is from RNAcentral.
UACAGAGGUCCCAAGCGUUGUUCGGAUUCACUGGGCGUAAAGGGUGCGUAGGUGGCCUGUUAAGUUGGGUGUGAAAUCUCCGAGCUCAACUCGGAAACGGCACUCAAAACUGGUGGGCUGGAGGGUCGGAAGGGAGACUGGAAUUCUCGGUGUAGCGGUGAAAUGCGUAGAGAUCGAGAGGAACACCAGUGGCGAAAGCGAGUCUCUGGACGACUCCUGACACUGAGGCACGAAAGCUAGGGGAG